AAAAUAUAAAGAAGGAGAUAGUGUAACACAAAGUGCUACUAAGAAAUGCGACAAUCCAUUUAAAAUUAGGUCAACACUGUUAAAAGAUGGUUCUAGUUGGAAGAUUGAUGUAAAAUAUAGAUUUCACAAUCAUGGUUUACUAGAUAGAUAUGAAGGUCAUGCGUUUGUAGGUUGACUAAAUGCUGAUGAACAACAACAUAUUGUUGAUUUGACAAAAGAUCAUGUUCCACCAAGACACAUAUUAUUCUCAUUGCAAGAACG
RNAcentral lists this long non-coding RNA (261 nucleotides) under Lathyrus oleraceus (garden pea). Its description in RNAcentral is "Pisum sativum (pea) long non-coding RNA (PSAT_LNC005863)". The record is from RNAcentral. Lineage: Eukaryota; Viridiplantae; Streptophyta; Magnoliopsida; Fabales; Fabaceae.